RNAcentral lists this ribosomal RNA (112 nucleotides) under Heterocephalus glaber (naked mole-rat). Lineage: Eukaryota; Metazoa; Chordata; Mammalia; Rodentia; Bathyergidae. The record is from RNAcentral.
GCUUUUGGCCAUACCACCUUGAACGCGUCUGAUCUUGUCAGAUCUCAGAAGCUAGGCAGGGUUGGGACUGAGUAGUACUUGGGUGAGAGACCAACACAUUGCUCUAUAAAUU